CGGGGAUUAGUGGCGAACGGGUGAGUAACACGUGAGUAACCUGCCCUUGACUCUGGGAUAAGCCUGGGAAACUGGGUCUAAUACCGGAUACGACUCUUCACCGCAUGGUGGGGGGUGGAAAGCUUUUGCGGUUUUGGAUGGACUCGCGGCCUAUCAGCUUGUUGGUGGGGUAAUGGCCUACCAAGGCGACGACGGGUAGCCGGCCUGAGAGGGUGACCGGCCACACUGGGACUGAGACACGGCCCAGACUCCUACGGGAGGCAGCAGUGGGGAAUAUUGCACAAUGGGCGAAAGCCUGAUGCAGCGACGCCGCGUGAGGGAUGACGGCCUUCGGGUUGUAAACCUCUUUCAGUAGGGAAGAAGCGAAAGUGACGGUACCUGCAGAAGAAGCGCCGGCUAACUACGUGCCAGCAGCCGCGGUAAUACGUAGGGCGCAAGCGUUAUCCGGAAUUAUUGGGCGUAAAGAGCUCGUAGGCGGUUUGUCGCGUCUGCUGUGAAAGACCGGGGCUCAACCCCGGUUCUGCAGUGGGUACGGGCAGACUAGAGUGAUGUAGGGGAGACUGGAAUUCCUGGUGUAGCGGUGAAAUGCGCAGAUAUCAGGAGGAACACCGAUGGCGAAGGCAGGUCUCUGGGCAUUAACUGACGCUGAGGAGCGAAAGCAUGGGGAGCGAACAGGAUUAGAUACCCUGGUAGUCCAUGCCGUAAACGUUGGGCACUAGGUGUGGGGGACAUUCCACGUUUUCCGCGCCGUAGCUAACGCAUUAAGUGCCCCGCCUGGGGAGUACGGCCGCAAGGCUAAAACUCAAAGGAAUUGACGGGGGCCC
This 824-nucleotide ribosomal RNA is filed under the name mercury-resistant bacterium CFU 50. RNAcentral describes it as "bacterial SSU rRNA". It matches the Rfam family "Bacterial small subunit ribosomal RNA", at positions 86 to 922 of the family's 1533-position model. The record is from RNAcentral.